GCCCGCCCGCGUCAGCUGACCUGGCUUCCGCGGGCCCUGCGCCCUCGCGCUCCCGGGCCCCGGCCGCCCCCACGCCCCACGCCGCGCCCGCCGGCCCGGCCCUCCCUCCCCAGCUGGCCCGGCCGCCGCGGCCUCUUCCGCCCGGCGCCCGCGCAUUCCUGCCAUUCCCCCGAGUCGGCCCGCGGGCUACGGCCGCCUGCGGAGCGCAGGAACCUUCACCUCCCGAGGACAGGCGCCUUCCCCUCGGGACCCGGCUCCCCUGCUGCCUGCGCCGCUCUGUCCCCCUGCCGCUGCCCAAGCCUCCAGCAGGGGCCACCGAGGGCUCCAGGAGCACCCCAGGCCCGUUCUUCUGGCCCACAGCGCCCCUCCUGUGACCCUCAGCGACCCUCCUGUCCUGCCCUCCGGCGGCGCGGCUGUCUGGAGACUCUGCACCGUCGCGGCCUCGCAGCCUCGCAGCCCCGCGCCGGGUGGGGAGGGGAGGGUGGCGUUCCUGAGUCCGCGGAGGAAAGGGUCGCAGCUGCAGUCGCGCCAGCCCUCGGGCCUACAUCCGCUCCGCCGCGACGCGGCUCACAAACUAGGGAGGGGAGAAGGGAAGAAAGACCCGAUUCGGGAACACGGCUUUGUCCCUGGAACUGUACCUCAUGUCCCCUCACUUAAUCCUCCCAAGACCUGUGGGGCGUGUCGUCAUUUUAGGGCUGGAGAUGAGGAAACCGAGGCUCGGAGAGAUGAAGCGUUGUACGGCCACCGAGCGGCUGCUUUGCAACGAAGCCAAAGCCAACGUUUUGUUCUUAGCGGCGGUCGUUUGAGCCACGCCUCACCGCAACGAGUCUGCCAUCAGCCAAGAGGUCACAUCUUUUCUGGAACUCGCUCCCCCCUCACAUCAUGGGAGCAGUCAGUCUACUCUUCCAGUAGAAACUGUUUUGCCACUUUUGGGGGGAAUCUUGAGCUACCAGCUCAUCGCUCAGGUCUUAGAUGACACUUUCCUUGACCCCACCGGGUGCUCCAGCGCCUCUGCUUCCGGUUUUCAUAGCCCUUAUAAUAUCACCUAUUGCAAUUGCCCAUUUCCUUGUCUGUCUCCCUCUGCAGAUGGAGUGAAGGUACCUGAGCGCAGGAACCAUGGUCUUCAUUGCUGCCUCAGCAUUAGCGGAAGUGCCACGGGCCGGCUCCCAGGGGGCCAGAGUUUCCCAGGAACACCAUUGAGUACCACUGAACUAGAGUCUGCAAGUUAAAGUAAGGCAAGAAGGAAAACCGGAAACAACUGUAAAAACCUGACCUUUCGUCACCUUAAUACUGGCCAUCAUUUAUCGAGUGCUUAUUAUGUAACAGACAUUGUUCUCAGUGUGUGAGUGCAGUGUUCCUCAAACCUAAAUGUGGGCCUGAAUCGCAGCGGAUCUUGGUAAAAUGCAGUUUCUCAUUCAGUACCUCUGGGGUGCGGCCUGAGAUUCUGCAUUUCCAACAAGCUCCCAGGAUACUUUGUAUAGAAAGGCUUUGGUGUAUUAACUAACUCGAUCUUCUUAAUAAUCCUAUGAAAUACUACUGCUAUUCCCAUUUUACAGAUGAGGAAACAGAGGUUAAGCAUAUAUGAACUUACAUCAAAAUAAAUAGACUGCAGGGCAAGGAGGGAGGGGAGAAUAGUGUGGGCAGUGUACAGUGCAGAAACAAAGUUCUAGGCAGAGGAAAAAGGAUUUACAGAAAGCCUGGCAUACAGGGCAGGGGGACGGGGCCUGCACACGGGGCUGUUUCACCGUUAGACGUUAUAAGCACAGUACUUGGGGCUAUGGGCUUCCUGAAGGUCCCAAGUAUUUGAGACCUGAAAAAAAUUUAUUGACACCUACAUAGGAAAAGUGAACUUUUAAAUUAAUAAUUCCAAAAUUCAAAUCACGAAUUGUUUCAAAAAUUUUACAUGAUAGAAUUCAUAUUUAGUAAGCGAUACGGGUAUAUUUUAAUGCAUUUGAUUUUAAAAACGGGGUAGGGCCUACUAAGAACAGGCCAAGCCCUGGCCCCAGUGGGUUUGGAUAUAAUCCUGAGGGCAGCUGGGAACCACUGAGAGAAGCAGGAGAAUGUUCUCUGUGGCUACAGUGAGGAGAAUGGAUUGGAGGGAGGCCAGACUGGAGGCCCAGUGGCUAGAGACCAGAUAGGCAGUUACAGUCUUCCAGACUGCGAGACAAUCUCUCUUUAGUGCCAAGAUUAGCAUAAAAUCAUAGCAUUAUAUAACCCAAUUAUUCUUUGAUUCCUGCAUCCCCAAUCUGACUCAGCAUUCUAAAUUUACUUAAGAUCUGGGGACAAGGGUUUUUGGCAAAUCCUUGAAGGCAAAUGAUGUUACAGUCAAUCAGUAUAUGCCUUGAGCCAGACAGACAUGGGUACGGGCCUCAGUUCUGCUGCUUGCUAGCUAUGUGACUUUGCACAAGUGAUUUAACUUCUCUGGGCCUUGGAUUCCUUACUGGUAACACGAGCAUAAUCGAUUCCUCACAGAAUUAAGUGAGAAAACUAUGUAUGUAGGACUUCUUAUGGAGUGGGUACUUAGAAAUAAAUGGUAGCCGUUAUCAUUUAUGUGCCUUUGUUCUGAAAUCUGCUUAAGUUUUCUCUAGGAAGUAACAGAGGGUAGAAUAAAUUAUUUAGUAUUUUCAUCAAUCUUCUGAGAUAAAAAUUAUUAUCCUCAUUUUGCAGAUAAGGAAAAGGGCUCAGAGAUUAGAUCACAGCUCUGUGAAGUAGGGGCACAAAGUGGUCAACCUGGAAGAGCUGGACUUUAUUUUGCUUGCACUUCUGUCCAUGCACUCUCUCCAGCAGUUGACAUUUGCCCUCUUUGAUGGCUCCACGACCAAUUUCCCUUAGUCAUGGCAUGAGUCAGCUGUGAGGGCUGAUGGCACACCACCGAAUACUCUGCUGUGGCGCCACUAGCCUCCAUUUACCUUCUUCUCCAACGUUUUCCAGCCUCCCUCAUACCUUGCCCCCCAGUUUUAUAGCUUCUGGAUUUUCCUUAUUAAAGAGCUUGUUUCUGAGACUCAGAACCGCCCCCGACUGGGAUGUCUUCCAGAGUACCUCCCUUUCAAGGGAGCAGAUAAGUAGGUCACAUCGGGAUGGCGAGGGAGGAAGCUGACUUCUUAUGGGAGGAGGAAAAAUACUGCAGGUCACAUGGAGAAUGGAAAACAAAAUAACAGGGUUUCUCUCUUUUCCUAAUUCUCUCACACAAUCUCACAG
Molecule: long non-coding RNA, 3198 nt
Filed under: Homo sapiens (human)
Lineage: Eukaryota; Metazoa; Chordata; Mammalia; Primates; Hominidae
Description: non-protein coding lnc-B4GALNT3-2:10
Source: RNAcentral